RNAcentral lists this long non-coding RNA (610 nucleotides) under Setaria viridis. RNAcentral describes it as "long non-coding RNA (SVIR_LNC006484)". The record is from RNAcentral. Lineage: Eukaryota; Viridiplantae; Streptophyta; Magnoliopsida; Poales; Poaceae.
AAGAAUGAAAGCAUACUUGUUCCUCAUGUAUUGCUAAGUCAAAGACCAGAUCCUUUGGGGAAGCAAGUCAUAUAACCUGAUCAAUAUGUGCAUGUGUGUGGAUGGUGUAUAUGGUGGAUGGUAUGUGAACUCCUUUUUGUAUUAUAUUUCUCUCUCCUUUGCUUUUUCUUUGGAGACAUGGGCUAUCUUUUCUUCUCUUUCUUUUUUUUCAUGCUUUCAUGAGCAUGUACUUUAUUUCUCUUUGCAUAGCCCAAGUCCCUUUUGCAAGGAUUACUUUGGAGAGAGAGGUCAUAAAAGAACAUGGAACUUAUUCUAUGAAUGAAUGAAAUGACGGUUGCUAACUUCCAGUGUAGAAGUUUAGCAAAUGGUGGUGGCGUGUACGUGAUCUUGAUCAUGGGAGUAUGACAAGUUUUUCACUAAGGGUCACAACAAUUUGACAAAGCUCAAUGAGAGAACGAGCUGCAUAUGUGGAGGCUAUGUAAUAGGAUCAACAUAUGGCCUUGGAUAGGAAUUUCUCGUCAUUGAGGAACUUAUCAUUUUAGCAUUCUCAAAAAUAAAACUCCAAAUAUCAAGCAUCAUGUAGAACAAGAUCAUAGCAACUCUAUUCUAC